Molecule: transfer RNA, 75 nt
Filed under: Marine Group II euryarchaeote MED-G33
Lineage: Archaea; Methanobacteriati; Thermoplasmatota; Candidatus Poseidoniia; Candidatus Poseidoniales
Also listed under: 1 other name
Description: tRNA-Pro(tgg)
Rfam family: tRNA
About the family: Transfer RNA (tRNA) molecules are approximately 80 nucleotides in length.
Source: RNAcentral
GGACCCGUGGGUUAGCUUGGCUAUGCUCGAUGCUUUGGGAGCAUCAGACCUCAGUUCAAAUCUGAGCGGGUCCAC